CAAGAGCGUAUGUAAAAGUUGUUGCAGUUAAAAAGCUCGUAGUUGAACCUUGGGUUUGGUUGGCCGGUCCGCUUUUUUGCGAGUACUGGAUUCAACCGAGCCUUUCCUUCUGGCUAACCAGUCGUUUCGGCGGCUGGCGAACCAGGAUUUUUACUUUGAGAAAAUUAGAGUGUUCAAAGCAGGCAUUAGCUUGAAUAUAUUAGCAUGGAAUAAUGGAAUAGGACGUUAUGGUUCUAUUUUGUUGGUUUCUAGGACCAUCGUAAUGAUUAAUAGGGACGGUCGGGGGCAUCAGUAUUCAGUUGUCAGAGGUGAAAUUCUUGGAUUUACUGAAGACUAACUACUGCGAAAGCAUUUGCCAAGGACGUUUUCAUUAA
RNAcentral lists this ribosomal RNA (374 nucleotides) under uncultured eukaryote. RNAcentral describes it as "partial 18S ribosomal RNA". It matches the Rfam family "Eukaryotic small subunit ribosomal RNA", at positions 592 to 976 of the family's 1831-position model. The record is from RNAcentral.